This is a long non-coding RNA of Pezoporus occidentalis (night parrot), 4253 nucleotides long. RefSeq lists it as uncharacterized. NCBI's taxonomy places the organism in Eukaryota, Metazoa, Chordata, Aves, Psittaciformes, Psittacidae. The transcript is spliced from 4 exons. The record is from RefSeq and is a predicted model, not a curated record.
UUGGUGCCUAAUAAAGAAGACACUGAAAGCCACUCGGCGCACAGACAAAGGCAAUGUGACUGCUUCAAAUGGGCUCCACGAACUCCUUGGGCACACCACAAGGCCUGACAGGAACUGAACCUCGGAAAACACGGCGCAGAAGAAAAUUAAGUUAUUCAGUGAACAUUUUCAAAUCUACACAAGUAUAUCAUUUAUGCACCAUCCUGGCAGAAGUCGGAUCUGGAGGUGCAGAAAAUAUGCCACAGAAUUAUACAGCAUAUUGGAAAAUUCACUUGUACCAUUAAAUGCCAACUAGUAACACCAAGCAGCAAACAGGAAAGAUACCACCUGCAUCAUCAGGAGAUGCACAUUUGCAUUUUUGAGUUCUAUUCCCUAUUCUUCAGGCAUAUGAACUAACAUUCAAGAUACAUUUUGGAAUAAAGAUGGAAGAAUUUGAUUGUAGUGGCUCCAAAAAGCAAAAGCAUGGAGACAUCUGUUUUUCAGCCACCAAGCUGUGACCACAUUUGGUUAAAAUACACGUACAAUUGUCAUCUCCUUUCCUGCCUAUCUGAAAGUGUAAGUAAUGAAUUUUUUAGGAAGAUAAAACCACAAUCCCAAGAAAGGAUUUUCCCCAGAAUGAUGAAAAAACACCCUUUGGAUUUUUAUUUCUACUUGUCUUCAGUUCACUAACAGGACAUGAUCAAUCUGACAGAUAAGAAAGAGGGAGCACAAGCACAAAAAAAUACCAGUAACAGUGUUCAUAAAGCUACCUUCUCAAAUUUCUUUAAUACAGUAUCCAAAUUCAGUGGUUUUCCUAAUACUUCCCAUUUAGAAUAGCUUCCUCUGCUAAAAGGCAGUCAUUCUGCUAUACAAAAGAACCAGUAUUAUGCAUUUUCUCCCUUAAACCGCACCUGCACAAAUACUUGUGCCUACUGAAACACCUGUAAGGCUACUGCUUAGUCUGGUAAUAAAAUACACAGAAUGAAAAGUUAAACAUGAACAUGUAUGUAAUGGAUCCUUCUCCACCUCCAAAAAGUAAAAAGAAAAAGAAAGGGAGGCUUGAUAUGGUUUCCAUCACAUCAUAAAUCUGAACUACACAGUCUCUAACUGUAUCUAAUAUCACUACAUGUCUUGACAUCAAUCUGAAACAAGAAAAGGGAGACUGCAUGUGCUCUAGAGGAUUAGAGACUUCAGAAAAAUAAGUAGUAUUCUCAAUAGUUAUUGAGGCAAAGAUGUAACACCUAGAACCUAGUCUGAGUUUUAAAGUCUAUGAAGAAGUACACAGUCCUUAACACAAACUUUCCCCAAUAAAAGCAAUUCUCUCUAUAACUACCUUUUUUUUUUUUCCCUACAAGAAAACAUGAAAUGAGGAGUUUUCUUUCACUAAGGCUCAUAGAUUUGGCAAAAGAGGAGAAACAACCCACCUAACUAGUAAAGUCAGCGAGGGAGUUCAUAUAGUAACAACCUUAGGUAUGACUUGACCUUCCAACAGCUAGCCACACUGCAAUGAUAAAACAGAGACUACAAACUCCCAUUUCUGCUGCAGCUUUUUAUUUCAAAUGGAAUUAAUACAACAUCUACAAAACUUAAUGUAUUGGUUUUCUCACAGAAAACAGACCUAUAAUUCCCAAGCAAACAACAUCCUGAAAAUGUGUUCAGCUGUCUGACCUCUGCUUUAGAGACUGCCCCAGAAAUUACACCCAGGGGUAUGGCGAGCAGGUAGACCAGACUUUCGUAAUGUAUUUGCAAUAAUUUGCCUCAGAUGAGGUCCAUAAUGACACAAUCACCUCCUUCACUCCCAAAAGUGUGUAACAAUGAUAAAGAGAUAUCAGUAAAUCUCAUCACAAGGAUAUGAAAAUUAUUCAGCAUCAAUAUAUGUAUGUGUCCUGGAAAAUUUCCACAAAUGGUCAUUUGCCAAGAAUAUAAAAGUACAUUUUUGGCUCUCACCAUCUUGGCUGCUGUAUAUUUAUGGUCAGAAGCCAGUUCAUUCAUUCAUUAAAAUACUACACCUGUAAUAGUUGAAACGUUUUACUACAUUGUAAUAUUAACAUUUGAAAACUGAAUUUUAAAAAGGGUUAGUAAAAUUUUCUUACAAACCCUAAAGUAAUCUCAAUCUGUUAACCCAUAAAAUCUGUUUAACUAAGAAAACCUUUAAAAGAAAAGAAUAUAAAGUUUUCUUUUGGAUGGCUCCAUAUGAAGGUUUCACUUGAAAAGGCAUCCAGUGAAAGACAACUGCAAAAAGCACACAGAUACCCAAAUACAUAAGGCAAAAGCUUGGCACUACUUCAGAGGAGCUGUCCCUCAGGCCCAACAUUUUACUUAGGAGAUGACUGUGUGCAGCAGGGAUCCGUAUCAAUGAAAUGUCAGCCAUUUCAUUAGAUGGUGCUGUCUGGCAUGUGCGAGGGCAGGCAUGCGGGGAGAGCAAGAAAAAGCACUGUGCAAGAACUGCCUGAAGCCGUAUCUGUUUUGAGAAACUACUGCUAGAAAUACUCAAGCUCUGGCCUUUCUUCUGGAGCUUGGUAGCAGCUUUGUUUGUGUUGCGUCCAUCUGCAACCCAGGAAGCAGAGCAGGAGGGAGGAGGCCCAGGGUCCAGGCCAAGAAGAUGUUGGAGCUGUCUCCCACUGUCAUUUCACUCAGCACAAAUGGCUGUGUGAAGACAAGGAAUGGUCUUCCCCAGGUUCGAGGGGAAAUGUAUUUUAAUGCAUGAAUGAAUUCAGUCAUCUGUACUUAGUUACUCAGUUUGCACGUUUCUGUUGUUUAAAUCGGUUGAUCUCCCCAAAAACAGUGAAGUUUUUGAAACUGCAUUGGACUACACUCUUUUCCUAGAGAUUUCUUGUUCCUUAGGAAAUACAUUAUUACCGCAACACAUUGGAUCAGUGCUUCUACAGCAGUGUAUGAACACUAAGUACUGUCACCACCCUUCUUUAUGACUACUCUUGCUGUGCUUUCACCCACAAUACCACUUCCCCUCCCUUUUACCCUAAAAAAAUAACAAAUCUUAUGCCACAGGGUAGCAUAACUUCUUCAUGUCUUCAACAGUUUAAACUGGUGAUAGAGUGCACUCUCUCAGUUUUCCUCAAAACAAACGUAUCUGCUGUAAUUCUCUUGAUCAGCGUCAGACCUUGAUCAACAAGAGACCUUGCAAUUUCUCACUGAACUUCCUCUUUUAAUAAAAUUAAAGAGCAGAAAACAGAUGCCAGCAUGCUGUUCAAUCCCCCCUUGUCUGAAAAAGGUCUCUCAAAGUCUGCAGCAAGUUGCAGAAUUGCAGCUUUCCCACCAACAGUUCCACUUCUCAACCACCAGCUUGAGUCCCCCUCAAGAAGAGCCCAAGCACACCCCAAAAACAUCCGAUACACACUUAACCUGCAAGCUGCUGGAAAUGACACAGUGACAGUGUCUCUCUAAGCAGCAGCAGAUGUUGAAACAGCAGCAGCAGAUACCAUGUGAGCUAGCUUCUGCCAGGACCUGGAGCAUGCUGUUUCCUACCUGAAUAUAUGACAUACAAACAAGUCACAGAACAAGGUCAAGCAAGCUGAAAAACCUCAUUAAAUUUCAUUGAUGUCGCUAUGACCCAGUACUUCAGACGCUGUAACUGCUUCAUGUCACUAUUGUAUUAACAGAGGAAAAAAAAAGACUGGAAUAUCACACUGCCUAGAGUAAGCAGGUGAACCUGAAACAGGAAGUUUUAGCAAGAAAAAAAAAAGGUAUUUCUGUAUAAACACAUAAUUAUAAGAAGGAGAUAAAAGUAAUUCUGGGGAGCAGGCAAAAUUACAUCUUCACUGGCGGCAGAUGUGCUGGAUUAGGAACUACAUGGGAAGUCUGCACACACACUCACAUGGCAGGCACAUUCAAUAAAAACACCUAACUCUUGACUAUCCUGAUUACAGUUGCAUUUGGCACCGGUGAAGGGGAAACCUGGCAGAGAACGCAGUCUAACUACUAUUUCUAGCCUUUGUUAAUUUGGUUGUCUGGGUGCAUAAUUAUCCUACAUACACACUCACAAUUUGUACAGUUAGUUAUACAGCUCUGCUAUUUAAUAAUAUUAUGUUCAAAUUUGAUAUGCCCCUGAGAUGGACAUAAGUCACUUGACAAUUCCAUAGAUUUUAAUCUCAACCUAAAACACUGUUUGACUUCACAGCCAGCAAGGGAAUAAAACUCACUAAGGAUUACAAAACCAGUAAGAUGGCACAAGGUGGCAAACUAAAACCCACAACUGCACUUCCAAAACAGACAGACCUUUAUUAGUGAGUGCGAUCCUGUAUCUCCUAGAAAUC